UACGUAGGGGGCAAGCGUUGUCCGGAUUUAUUGGGCGUAAAGAGCGUGUAGGCGGCCCGGUCAGUCCGCCGUGAAAGUCCAGGGCUCAACCCUGGAAUGCCGGUGGAUACUGCCGGGCUGGAGUCCGGAAGAGGCGAGUGGAAUUCCUGGUGUAGCGGUGAAAUGCGCAGAUAUCAGGAGGAACACCAAUGGCGAAGGCAGCUCGCUGGGACGGUACUGACGCUGAGACGCGAAAGCGUGGGGAGCAAACAGG
This 253-nucleotide ribosomal RNA is filed under the name uncultured bacterium. Its description in RNAcentral is "partial 16S ribosomal RNA". It matches the Rfam family "Bacterial small subunit ribosomal RNA", at positions 524 to 776 of the family's 1533-position model. The record is from RNAcentral.